CCUACGGGUGGCAGCAGUGAGGAAUAUUGGUCAAUGGGCGCGAGCCUGAACCAGCCAAGUCGCGUGAGGGAAGACGGUCCUAUGGAUUGUAAACCUCUUUUGUCGGGGAGCAAAAGACGCCACGCGUGGCGUUCCGAGAGUACCCGAAGAAAAAGCAUCGGCUAACUCCGUGCCAGCAGCCGCGGUAAUACGGAGGAUGCGAGCGUUAUCCGGAUUUAUUGGGUUUAAAGGGUGCGUAGGCGGGCUGUUAAGUCAGCGGUCAAAUGUCGGGGCUCAACCCCGGCCUGCCGUUGAAACUGGCGGCCUCGAGUGGGCGAGAAGUAUGCGGAAUGCGUGGUGUAGCGGUGAAAUGCAUAGAUAUCACGCAGAACUCCGAUUGCGAAGGCAGCAUACCGGCGCCCUACUGACGCUGAGGCACGAAAGCGUGGGUAUCGAACAGGAUUAGAUACCCGAGUAGUC
This 459-nucleotide ribosomal RNA is filed under the name uncultured bacterium. RNAcentral describes it as "partial 16S ribosomal RNA". It matches the Rfam family "Bacterial small subunit ribosomal RNA", at positions 338 to 795 of the family's 1533-position model. The record is from RNAcentral.